UGGGCGGCAGCUACACAUGCAGUCGAGCGGUAGAGAGAAGCUUGCUUCUCUUGAGAGCGGCGGACGGGUGAGUAAUGCCUAGGAAUCUGCCUGGUAGUGGGGGAUAACGUUCGGAAACGGACGCUAAUACCGCAUACGUCCUACGGGAGAAAGCAGGGGACCUUCGGGCCUUGCGCUAUCAGAUGAGCCUAGGUCGGAUUAGCUAGUUGGUGAGGUAAUGGCUCACCAAGGCGACGAUCCGUAACUGGUCUGAGAGGAUGAUCAGUCACACUGGAACUGAGACACGGUCCAGACUCCUACGGGAGGCAGCAGUGGGGAAUAUUGGACAAUGGGCGAAAGCCUGAUCCAGCCAUGCCGCGUGUGUGAAGAAGGUCUUCGGAUUGUAAAGCACUUUAAGUUGGGAGGAAGGGUUGUAGAUUAAUACUCUGCAAUUUUGACGUUACCGACAGAAUAAGCACCGGCUAACUCUGUGCCAGCAGCCGCGGUAAUACAGAGGGUGCAAGCGUUAAUCGGAAUUACUGGGCGUAAAGCGCGCGUAGGUGGUUUGUUAAGUUGGAUGUGAAAUCCCCGGGCUCAACCUGGGAACUGCAUUCAAAACUGACUGACUAGAGUAUGGUAGAGGGUGGUGGAAUUUCCUGUGUAGCGGUGAAAUGCGUAGAUAUAGGAAGGAACACCAGUGGCGAAGGCGACCACCUGGACUAAUACUGACACUGAGGUGCGAAAGCGUGGGGAGCAAACAGGAUUAGAUACCCUGGUAGUCCACGCCGUAAACGAUGUCAACUAGCCGUUGGAAGCCUUGAGCUUUUAGUGGCGCAGCUAACGCAUUAAGUUGACCGCCUGGGGAGUACGGCCGCAAGGUUAAAACUCAAAUGAAUUGACGGGGGCCCGCACAAGCGGUGGAGCAUGUGGUUUAAUUCGAAGCAACGCGAAGAACCUUACCAGGCCUUGACAUCCAAUGAACUUUCUAGAGAUAGAUUGGUGCCUUCGGGAACAUUGAGACAGGUGCUGCAUGGCCUGUCGUCAGCU
RNAcentral lists this ribosomal RNA (1026 nucleotides) under Pseudomonas sp. BTN1. RNAcentral describes it as "bacterial SSU rRNA". It matches the Rfam family "Bacterial small subunit ribosomal RNA", at positions 37 to 1060 of the family's 1533-position model. Lineage: Bacteria; Pseudomonadati; Pseudomonadota; Gammaproteobacteria; Pseudomonadales; Pseudomonadaceae. The record is from RNAcentral.